This 21-nucleotide microRNA is filed under the name Mus musculus (house mouse). RNAcentral describes it as "mmu-miR-12186-5p". Lineage: Eukaryota; Metazoa; Chordata; Mammalia; Rodentia; Muridae. The record is from miRBase by way of RNAcentral.
AGGGACUCAGGCCUCUGUUGG